GAUAUCAUGGAAUGCAUCACAGCACAAACAAAUCACAUCAAGGAUGGACUUGUCACCAAUGGCCCUCAUCAUAAUCCAAUCAUGCCAGGGGCGUAGUGCAGGCCACACCUGGUCUUUCCCUUAAACAUAACAUGUCAUACAUAUCCAAUAAUGCCGGGGGCGUAGUGCAGGCCACACCCGGACUUUCCCUUACAUAGUGCCAGGGGCGUAGUGCAUGCCACACCUGGACUUCCAUAUCAUAUCAUAUCUCAUCAUACUGAGGACCAAUGGGUCAUCCAACAUCC
This 284-nucleotide long non-coding RNA is filed under the name Manihot esculenta (cassava). Its description in RNAcentral is "long non-coding RNA (MESC_LNC008008)". Lineage: Eukaryota; Viridiplantae; Streptophyta; Magnoliopsida; Malpighiales; Euphorbiaceae. The record is from RNAcentral.